Long non-coding RNA from Argiope bruennichi, 666 nucleotides. RefSeq lists it as uncharacterized. The record is from RefSeq and is a predicted model, not a curated record. The transcript has 2 exons. Lineage: Eukaryota; Metazoa; Arthropoda; Arachnida; Araneae; Araneidae.
GAAUCAAGAAUUUGAAACGGUAUUUGCGCUAGAAGGAAUAUAAAUCUUUCAUCGUGGCCAUAGAUUUAUUCUUUUGAAGACAGCUGCAGAAUUCUUAAUACUAUUUAGUAGUGUUUCUUGGGGAAUUUUAAAUGAGAUGAAUGGUGUUCCAAACGAAUGAAAUUAAUCCAAAUUUUUUAAACAGCAUACCAUCUCAUAUUAAGAAAUAUUACCAUGAUUUGGUUCGAACAGAAUUUGAUUUCAUUAUAUUUUGGCCGUCUACAUGUGAUCCGUUAAAGAUUUUUGUAGCAAGUUUCUAACUGAGAGGCAUAUCAUAUGUAUUAAUUCAACCAAAUGUGUGUUUUCUAUUUUUAAUUCAGUCGAAUGAUACUUUAACAUGAAAAAAAUAAUUAAUAGCGUUUUUAUUGCUUUAUGUUGGCCAUCUAAAAUAUGCCUUUAUAUUUGCACCCGGGCAUUGGAACAGAUAAAGGCUUUCAACAAUGGAAGAAAAUCACACGAUCAAAUAUUUUUUACAGCACCGAAAAUCAUUUAAAUGUGAAGGCAGCAAUACAAUCUAUUGUUGAAAAUGAAGCAAAAGAAUAUUUUGUUAAAGUUGCGAAAUUUCAGGGAAAAUUUCCACCAUUGUAAAAUAGAUUUCAUUAAAAAGACUAUUUUGAAAAUUUGAAA